CUAAUACCUCCAUCUAAUACUAUACCAGCAACACGUACAGUGGGCCUAAUACCUCCAUCUAAUACUAUACCAGCAACACGUACAGUGGGCCUAAUACCUCCAUCUAAUACCACACCAGCAACACGUACAGUGGGCCUAAUACCUCCAUCUAAUACUAUACCAGCAACACGUACAGUGGGCCUAAUACCUCCAUCUAAUACUAUACCAGCAACACGUACAGUGGGCCUAAUACCUCCAUCUAAUACUAUACCAGCAACACGUACAGUGGGCCUAAUACCUCCAUCUAAUACUAUACCAGCAACACGUACAGUGGGCCUAAUACCUCCAUCUAAUUCUAUACCAGCAACACGUACAGUGGGCCUAGUACAUCCAUCUAAUACUAUACCAGCAACACGUACAGUGGGCCUAAUACAUCCAUCUAAUACUAUACCAGCAACACGUACAGUGGGCCUAAUACAUCCAUCUAAUACUAUACCAGCAACACGUACAGUGGGCCUAAUACAUCCAUCUAAUACUAUACCAGCAACACGUACAGUGGGCCUAAUACAUCCAUCUAAUACUAUACCAGCAACACGUACAGUGGGCCUACAUAACAAACGUUACAUCACUGAUUCAAUUCAACACAACUUUAUCAAUCGCGUCAAGGGCAACCCAGAAAGCAUAGUCGGACACAGAACACAUUACUUUAGACAUUCAGACUGUACAGGUGUAGAAGUGCAAUACAUUACGUGAAACAGAACAAGUUACUCUGAGACGCUUGAUACAUACAUGUACGGCCCCUGAAGAUGUUUGUAAGACAAACAUGUUGGAUGGAUGAGAGAGGAGGUGUUAGAUGUUGUGAUUACAGGGAUGCUCCUCAGGGAGAGGAGGUGUUAGAUGUUGUGAUUACAGGGAUGCUCCUCAGGGAGAGGAGGUGUUAGAUGUGAUUACAGGGAUGCUCCUCAGGGAGAGGUGGUGUUAGAUGUUGUGAUUACAGGGAUGCUCCUCAGGGAGAGGUGGUGUUAGAUGUGAUUACAGGGAUGCUCCUCAGGGAGAGGUGGUGUUAGAUGUGAUUUGCAGAGAGGUUCUUCAGGGAGAGGUGGUGUUAGAUGUGAUUUGCAGAGAGGUUCUUCAGGGUGUGUAUUUGAUGUUAAUGUAUAUAUGUAAAAUGUGUUUAUUCUAUGCUCUCAAUUUCUAUGUCCCAUCAGUUGUGCCUUCUGUUGGUAACAAGAGCCCUUCAUGUUCUGGUCUAGAUUUAGUUAGUUCUUACUCAGAGAAACUGUAUGUGUUUUUGUGUCUUUGUGUGUGUGUGUGUGUGUGUGUGUGUGUAUAUAUAUAUUUAUACAGUACCAGUCAAAAGUUUGGACACACCUAUUCAUUCAAGGGUUUUUCUUUAUUUUUACUAUUUUCUACGUUGUAGAAUAAUAAUGUAGACAUCAAAACUAUGAAAUAACCCAUUUGGAAUCAUGUAGUAACCAAAAAGGUGUUAAACAAAUCUAAAUAUAUUUUAUAUUUUUGAUUCUUCAAAGUAGCUACCCUUUGCCUUGAUGACAGCUUUGCACACUCUUGGCAUUCUCUCAACCAGCUUCACCUGGAAUGCUUUCCCAACUGUCUUGAAGGAGUUCCCACAUUUGCUGAGCACUUGUUGGCUACUUUCCUUCACUCUGCUGUCCAACUCAUCCCAAACCACCUCAAUUGGGUUGAGAGUGGAUAAUUGUGGAGGCCAGGCUCUGAUGCAGAACUCCAUCACUCUCCUUCUUGGUCAAAUAGCCCUUACACAGCCUGGAGGUGUGUUGGGUCCUGUUGAAAAACAAAUGAUAGUCCCACUAAGCGCAAACCAGAUGGGAUGGCGUAUCGCUGCAGAAUGCUGUGGUAGCCAUGCUGGUUAAGUGUGCCUUUAAAUCAGUCGUUUCUCUUUUCUUAUUUGAGAUGUUCUUGCCAUAAUAUGGACUUGGUCUUUUACCAAAUAGGGCUAUCUUCUGUAUACCACCCCUACCUUGUCACAACACAACUGAUUGGCUCAAACGCAUUAAGAAGGAAAGAAAUUCCACAAAUUAACUUUUAACAAGGCACACCUGUUAAUUGAAAUACAUUCCAGGUGACUACCUCAUCAAGCUGGUUGAGAGAAUGCCAAGUGUGUUCAAAGCUGUCAUCAAGGCAAAGGGUGGCAACUUCGAAGAAUCUGUUUAAUUUGUUUAACACUACAUUGGUUACUACAUGAUACCAUAUGUGCUAUUUCAUAGUUUUAUGUCUUCACUAUUAUUCUAUAAUGUAGAAAAUAGUAAAAUAAAAAACGUAGAAUGAGUAGGUGUGUCCCAACUGUUGACUGGUACUGCUCAAGUGUUGUAUAACUAGUCUUCCAGAUUGACCAUCGAAGGAUAAAGUGCUAUCCUGUCCUGUUACUUGAAUUGUCUAUUUAUUUAUUUUAACCUACUAGGUUGCCAUCAACCCGGUUACCUUAUAACGUACAUAUAUAUCCAUGAACAAGAGGUAUACAUACCAUUAGGGCUGCAAAAUACCCCAAAUUCCUAGGUUUUCCAGAAAUACCCCUUGGAGGAUUCCCAGAUUUCCUCCUUAUUCCUUGCCAAUUCUAGUUUUGUUUUUCCAACCCUGGGAAUCUGGGAAAGUUUCAGGAAUUUUGCAUCCCAUCAAGGUACUUAAGAUCUGCAACAUUCUUUACUUAAGUCAAACCUUACUGUAGAAUUUUCCCAAAAUUCCCAGGUUUUCCACAAAUCCCAGCUGAAAUAUUCCUGGAAUCUGAAGGGUAUAAGCAAGAAAUCCAGGGAUACUCUUACCCGGAUUUCUGGAAAUUUUGUUCAACCCUACUGUAUAAUCUACUAUGAGGUGUUAAUAUUACAAAUAUUGUACUCAACAUUACCUACCUGUGUUUACUGUUUCAUAGAACAGUUGUGUUAUGGCAUACAGUGAAUGAAUAGAUGGAGAAAUAAAAUCCAAGGUCAAGUCAUACCUCCUUUCUUUGCCUCUUAAAGUAGCAGUUAUCAAGUUAGUAGAGAUACUUACUGUACAGACAGAGGUGUAUUAGCCUCAAACCUCAUAGGCUAAGAUCAGGAUUCAAAUGAUCGUGCUUUGUCAGCUAUGCGCCAGUAAAAAUCAAUUUCUCAAUGAGCUGACGUACGUAGAGUUUACCAUUAAUGCGGUCUCCGUGACAAGGGAACAUUGCCUUUAAAAGAUACAAUGCUGACAAAGAGCAGGCGGAUUACAUCCUAGACUAAAUAUUCUAUCCUCCAAAUACUAUACCAUAUUAUUCCAAUGGAAUACAUUAUGGAGAACUACUACAUGCAUGUACAGUGUAGACACAAAGGACAUCAACAUAAUUAUAUAUACAGUGAGGGAAUAAAGUAAUAAUAACAUACAAAUAAUAUACAAAUAAUAACACAAAGAAUAAAUACACAAUGAUUC
Molecule: long non-coding RNA, 3399 nt
Filed under: Salmo salar (Atlantic salmon)
Lineage: Eukaryota; Metazoa; Chordata; Actinopteri; Salmoniformes; Salmonidae
Description: lncRNA (ENSSSAG00000087626.1, ENSSSAG00000117031.1)
Source: RNAcentral